This 119-nucleotide transfer RNA is filed under the name Penicillium decumbens. It matches the Rfam family "tRNA". From Rfam's summary of the family: Transfer RNA (tRNA) molecules are approximately 80 nucleotides in length. The record is from Rfam by way of RNAcentral. Lineage: Eukaryota; Fungi; Ascomycota; Eurotiomycetes; Eurotiales; Aspergillaceae.
GCGUGUUUGGCCGAGUGGUUAAGGCGCUGGAUUCAAGUGUACGGUACACUUUGCUUCGAUGAACGAGGUUGAAAUUCCCAGUCACGGAAGUGGCGCAGGUUCGAAUCCUGCAGCACGCA